CCGGAAUCGCUAGUAAUCGUGGAUCAGCAUGCCACGGUGAAUACGUUCCCGGGCCUUGUACACACCGCCCGUCACACCACGAGAGUUUGUAACACCCGAAGUCGGUAGGGUAACCUUUAUGGAGCCAGCCGCCGAAGGUGGGACAGAUAAUUGGGGUGAAGUCGUAACAAGGUAGCCGUAUCGGAAGGUGCGGCUGGAUCACCUCCUUUCUAAGGAA
RNAcentral lists this ribosomal RNA (217 nucleotides) under Listeria monocytogenes. RNAcentral describes it as "partial 16S ribosomal RNA". It matches the Rfam family "Bacterial small subunit ribosomal RNA", at positions 1326 to 1533 of the family's 1533-position model. The record is from RNAcentral. Lineage: Bacteria; Bacillati; Bacillota; Bacilli; Caryophanales; Listeriaceae.